Nothobranchius furzeri (turquoise killifish) is the source of this 1822-nucleotide non-coding RNA. The record is from RefSeq and is a predicted model, not a curated record. NCBI's taxonomy places the organism in Eukaryota, Metazoa, Chordata, Actinopteri, Cyprinodontiformes, Nothobranchiidae.
AUAUAUAUAUAUAUAUAUCUAUAUUGGUCUCUGCCGAUCUCUGCCGGUCUCUGCCGAGCGGUGGAGGCUGUGUGCUGUUUUUCAAUCGCCCAAACAGGACGAGACCAGCUGUCCAAUUGCUGACAAGAAUAUCAAAGGGUAGGAAUGGGAAUGUAUCCAAUCAGCGUCGACGUUGUUUCAGAACGUUUCAGAAGCAUGAUGGGCGAUGGAGCUACCGCCAAAGGUUUCGUUGGUGUUCGGUAGAACUCGGCAGAGUCGUUUUUGGUCGUGACGCAUGGACGCCGCCAGUGACUACAACCAGCAUGGAUACCGGAUCUCAGCAGCCACUGAAUUCAGUUCGGUCUCUAAUCCAGUAUCCGUUCGAGAGGAGAACUAUGGUGGAAAAACUUAAUGUCAAAGAGCUUGGACCAGAUCAGCCCGACGUAAAGAUAAGCCAGCAGGAGAAGGAGAGAGCUGGGACAGAUAAGGCAUGGAUGAGUCAGGAGUUACAGACAUGAAACAUUUUUCUGAGAAGGUGAAGAAACACGAGUCAUCCCGGGCACACAUGGACAACAACACGGUGAAGCUAGCCAUGCUAGGCAGCAGAGCUAACGUUGCCAUGCAGGAAACAACAGCAGCUGGGUGCAGAGGUUUUUCACACCAUCCUGAGCCAUGCAAAAGAAGAUUCUUGUCACCACACCCAUGACCACAGCCGAAUCAGAGAGGUGCUUUUCUACUUUAAAGAGGAUUAAGACUUUCCUUGAGGAACACCAUGACACAGGAUGGGCUGAAUGCUCUUGCCAUGCUCUCAUGGGAAAAAAAAGCUUGUCACAAACAUUCCUGACUUCAAUAAAAAGCUAAUCGAGAGCUUUGCCACUCAGAAGGACAGAAGGGCAAAAUUUCUGUACAAAUGAGGUAUCACACACACACACAAAUGCAUCCACUUGAUCUUUGUAUAAAGUUGACCUUGGCACAACACUCCAGAAAUAUUUAACAGUGUAAAUUCCUGGCAUUUUGUCUAAGUGGUGUUUACUACCAUUACUGUAACAGUGACCUGCUCAUAAUUUUUUGUGUUCACUCAAAUGUUGAAAUUAAACAAAAUGUUUUUGUUACUUGCCUCUUGCAUUGCCUAUUUACCAUUUAUGGUCAUGUUAUUUUAUGUGCAAUUGAAUGCAGUAUUUUUCAACCUUGGUCUGCAAGGCAGCGUGCCAAUAGUCAGACACACCUGGAUUAAUCAGUUUGUCCAAUGAUGUAAGACAGGAAAUAAAAGAGCUGUGCUUAAUUCAGGAAAUAGUGAAGUUGUGCACAAAGCUCAGAAAGCACAAGUUUGUUUAAAAAAAAUAGCACAGCCCCACCAAAAAUAUUUUUCACCAGCCGCCACUGAUAGCUAGUUUAUAUAGGAAAGCAGAUCAUAGAUGGCACAGGAUUUUGGUAUACCAGGCUACCUAUAUUCAACAGUAAGGUAAAUUUCAUUUUGAAUUCUAGGACCCCUUUAGCUAAAUUAUUUUACAGCAAAAUGAACAUCUAAUCCCAAAUGAAACAUUUAAAAAGGUUAGACAUAAUGUCGGUGAUGUACAAUUCUUAAUCAUGUUUAAAAUGAACACAAAUUAAAAAAUCUGCUGGAAAAAUGUCACAUAGAUGCAGCAAGUCAAUUCACUACAUGACCGCACAAUUGGCCCAAUGAUAAUGCUGCAUGUUCAAAUGAUGCAGGUUUGAAUGAUUGUGGCCUUUCUGUGCAGAGAGUGCACUUUCCACACGUGUGCAUGGAAUUUCCAGCAGUACUUCAGAUUCUUCCCCAAACCCAAAAACAUGCAUGUUAGGUUCUUUGGUGGCUUGUCUCUAG